UACGUAGGUGGCAAGCGUUGUCCGGAUUUAUUGGGUUUAAAGGGUGCGUAGGCGGCCUUAUAAGUCAGUGCUGAAAUAUCCCGGCUUAACCGGGAGGGUGGCAUUGAUACUGUAGGGCUUGAGUGCAGUCGAGGUAGGCGGAAUUGACGGUGUAGCGGUGAAAUGCUUAGAUAUCGUCAAGAACACCGAUAGUGUAGACAGCUUACUAGGCUACAACUGACGCUGAGGCACGAAAGUGUGGGGAGCAAACAGG
This 253-nucleotide ribosomal RNA is filed under the name uncultured bacterium. RNAcentral's name for it is "partial 16S ribosomal RNA". It matches the Rfam family "Bacterial small subunit ribosomal RNA", at positions 524 to 776 of the family's 1533-position model. The record is from RNAcentral.